This 439-nucleotide ribosomal RNA is filed under the name Legionella sp. Its description in RNAcentral is "bacterial SSU rRNA". It matches the Rfam family "Bacterial small subunit ribosomal RNA", at positions 394 to 826 of the family's 1533-position model. Lineage: Bacteria; Pseudomonadati; Pseudomonadota; Gammaproteobacteria; Legionellales; Legionellaceae. The record is from RNAcentral.
AUGCCGCGUGUGUGAGAAGGCCUGAGGGUUGUAAAGCACUUUCAGUGGGGAGGAGGAUAGCAUGGUUAAUAGCUGAGCUAUUGGACGUUACCUACAGAAGAAGCACCGGCUAACUCCGUGCCAGCAGCCGCGGUAAUACGGAGGGUGCGAGCGUUAAUCGGAAUUACUGGGCGUAAAGGGUGCGUAGGUGGUUAAAUAAGUUAGAUGUAAAAACCCUGGGCUUAACCUAGGACUGAGAUUUAAUACUGUUUAACUAGAGUAUGGGAGAGGGUAGUGGAAUUUCCGGUGUAGCGGUGAAAUGCGUAAAGAUCGGAAGGAACACCAGUGGCGAAGGCGGCUACCUGGCCUAAUACUGACACUGAGGCACGAAAGCGUGGGGAGCAAACAGGAUUAGAUACCCUGGUAGUCCACGCUGUAAACGAUGUCAACUAGCCGUUGG